Molecule: transfer RNA, 86 nt
Filed under: Mesorhizobium sp. NZP2298
Lineage: Bacteria; Pseudomonadati; Pseudomonadota; Alphaproteobacteria; Hyphomicrobiales; Phyllobacteriaceae
Also listed under: 2 other names
Description: tRNA-Ser
Rfam family: tRNA
About the family: Transfer RNA (tRNA) molecules are approximately 80 nucleotides in length.
Source: RNAcentral
GGAGGGUGCCGCUGAAUGGCCGGCAACUGGUCUUGAAAACCAGGGUAUCCGAAAGGUUAAGGGUUCGAUUCCUUCACCCUCCGCCA